This 56-nucleotide transfer RNA is filed under the name Erinaceus europaeus (western European hedgehog). It matches the Rfam family "tRNA", at positions 9 to 63 of the family's 71-position model. Rfam says of the family: Transfer RNA (tRNA) molecules are approximately 80 nucleotides in length. Lineage: Eukaryota; Metazoa; Chordata; Mammalia; Eulipotyphla; Erinaceidae. The record is from Rfam by way of RNAcentral.
AGCUGAGUGGUAGAGCACGUGUUUUGCAUGCAUGAGGCUCUGGGUUCGAUCCCCAG